This 1006-nucleotide long non-coding RNA is filed under the name Heterocephalus glaber (naked mole-rat). RNAcentral describes it as "lncRNA (ENSHGLG00000045556.1)". Lineage: Eukaryota; Metazoa; Chordata; Mammalia; Rodentia; Bathyergidae. The record is from RNAcentral.
CUUGGAGGCUCAAACCACCAACGAUCGCAAUGCUGCGUCGCGAGCCAGGCCGGUCUCCGCGGUAACCGGUUUGCCGCUGAGGACUCUGGGAGUUGUAGUUGGGAGGAAGCCGGCUGCGCUCCAGGACGGCCGAGCCGCUGCUCGUUAGCGUUGGCCUCUGCAGGCCACAGGCGGGCUCCGCGGACAGGGCGAGCAGUCCGACUCGCCCUUCAGACGAGCUCUCGAUGUUCUUCAUUAUCUCCAGAACAGGAAGUUCUCUGGAACAAAUGGCACCUAUGCAGUGAGCGCAAGAGUUCCCGGUAUCGGGGCGGGGCGCGGUUCCAGGCUGCCGGGGCACAGGAGCGGAGGUGGGCUGGGUGACUGGCCGGUUUUGCCCCAGGUGGUCCUAUGGCAGCUGCCCCCCCAGCCUCACGAAGGAGCAGCUGGAGGAGCAGCUGUGCCCACUGCCCACUCACGACCACUUCGAGGUGGCCAGUGCAGACCACAGCCUUUAUCCUCAUCUCUACUCAAGAGCAUACAUUAAUUUUAGGAAUCCUGAUGACAUCCUUCUGUUCAUAGAUCAUUUUGAUGGGUAUGUCUUCAUGAGUAGUAAAGGCCUGGAAUAUCCUGUUGUGGUAGAGUUUGCCCCAUUCCAGAGAUAGUCAGGAGGAAGCCGAAGAAGAGAGACACCAAGAUGGGGAGCAUCGAAGACGAUCCAGAGUAUAAAUAGUUUUUAGAAAUUUACAGCAUGGAAGAAGAGAGAACCAGUGCCAACCCUGAAACUCUUCUGGGAGAGAUAGAGGCAAAGAUGAGAGAACUUGUUGCUAGAAGAACCACACCUCUUUUGGACUAUAUUAAAAACCGAAAAUUAGAAAAGCAGAGAAUUUGAGAAGUGAGAAGAACGAAGGAGGAGGGAGUUAGAAAAGAAAUGCUUGCAGGAGGAAGAAAAAAGAAAAAGAUGAGAAGAAGAAAGAUACAGGAGGAAAGAGGCAGAUGAACAAAAGACAACUAUUGAGACAGGAGUGAG